AUUGCCACUAUGGCUGGAUCAAUAAGGAUGUUAACAACCUAUUGCCUGGGUUCAGAGAGAAGUAGAAAUAAAAUCCACCCCUGGACUCCUGGGCCUCCUGAGUCGAAGGCUACAUGGACCUUACACAGGAUAGA
This is a non-coding RNA of Pseudonaja textilis, 134 nucleotides long. NCBI's taxonomy places the organism in Eukaryota, Metazoa, Chordata, Lepidosauria, Squamata, Elapidae. The record is from RefSeq and is a predicted model, not a curated record.